UCCCGGCCUUUCCAUCCCCGCUGAUUCCCUCGUUCCGCCGAGGGGCUUUCUUUGAACGCCUCUUGCACUUCACAGCCUCGCGGAAGGCCUCAGCUGCUGAUGCGGGAAGAGCCGUAGUGGCCUGAGCCUCCCAUCACGGAACCACGGAACGGCCUGGAUUGCUAGGGACCCUGAAGCUGGCCUAGUUCCAGCCUCGCUGCCGUGCCAUCUUCUGCUAGACCUGGUUGCUCAGAGCCCCAUCCCACCUGGGCUUGAAUACCUCACAGGAUUGCGGGCAUCCGUAGCACUUGUACCACAUCCUCAGGUGCAAACACCCUGACUGCAGAUGACCAUGGACCUGUAGCUGACCAAACACAGUUGGAGCCAGCAGAGCAUGUGAGCCUUGCUUCUGAGGAGACCAACCCAGGCGAGCAGCUGCCGGGAGAGGAGAUUUCAGCCACGAUCCGGAACGUGGAGGGGAAGACAGAGUCGGUCAGUAAAAGGGAGGAGCCGGAGGGCACCGAGCCCCUGCCUGCAGCAGAGGAGGAGAGCUCCGAGCUGCUCUCUGUGUGGCGAGAGGAGAGCAGGGGGCCUUCACCGCCAGCGCCAGGAGAAGAUGCUGGGGCACCAUCUCCAGACCCAGCAGAGGACAGUGGGCUGGUAGAGGGCAGUGACAGCUCUGUAGUGGAAGUCAUCGAGAAAGUACAUAUUACUGAAGACGACCACCUCAUUGAGGGUAAUAUUUGUGCUUUUAUAAAUUUGCCUCCAGGGAGUUCUGUGUGGGUCCUUUUGGCUUUAAUAAGAGCCUCAAAUGAGCUUCUGGAGUCAGAAUUUGAUCGAGGGAGUCUGUAUGAUGUGAGGCAUAGAAGAACGUGGCUGGGUAAGCCUCGGAUUUACAAGUCCAAGCUGUAAUAAAUUUAAUCAGCAUUUUCACCUCUGCUAUUUCAUUUCACGUCCUUUUUGUUCUUAGCAGAUCAAAUGUCCCACCAUACCCCUCAUUUAAAACAUUGUGUCUCUUGGCAGCUCAGACAUUUUCCUUAAUAUUUGCACAGCCCAAAGGCUCAAUUACUUAGUCACAUGUAUUAAUUAUAAACCAGCUGCCCUUGCACACAUAAAGCUGAAUGUAGAAGAAAAAGAUCUCUUCAAUGCACACUUGGCAUCUCCAGUGUGUCCCGGCAGCUUGCCUACAAGACAAGCAGAAUAGAAGUACUAGUGGAGAGACAUAGGGCUGUCUUUGCACCAGUGCUUGGAGAUGGCUGGGUGGGGAGAGGGGCUGUGUGGGGAAGCAGUAGUGUCUGAGGUGACAGGGAUUUCCAUGUGCUGCGGAGGAACCUUUAGCAGGAGGUGGAAAUUGCAGGCUAUGCUCCCCUUUGGGUUAGUGCUCAGAGAACACGGACUGCAGAAGAUGAACACUUGACAGGAGGAAUCAAAUUUCUCCUAAAAGAUACAAAGUAACUCACUAAGGAAUCAGAUGCAUUCCUGGGGUAGCUCUUCUUCAGGGAAUAAAAAGGUGAAGCACAUGAGGAGUAUUUCUCUGCAAGGAGACAGCCUCACUCCACUUUGGCCUUGAAGAAGUGCGAGGUGCAGAAGGACUGAUCCGUGUGAAGUCCAGAGCCAGAUACUGGAGACUGCCACUGCCGCUACUCCCGUGGCUUAGUGCUGCUUGUCUCUGAACUGGCUCUAUGAAUCUCAUUCUUUGCUCAUCCUUUGUAGGUAGGCAUGGUUGUUGGAUUGCUUUGUUGUUUCAUGUGUCGCUUCAUGAAAGAAUUUUGUCCUCUACAUAAUAAUCUAUCCUUUGGAAUAAAGCCUUGUUUUAUGUAAGCAGUAAAUGACAGAUUGCUCACCUGUUAAACACAGAUCCUGCCCAGCUGCAAACUCCAAUUCCUUUAUGCACAACUGAUAAGCCUCAGGGCAGUGCCAGAGGCAGAGCAGCACACCCUGGACCUUGUGCUGUCACCUCUCAUCAGUGGGAACAUGUUUACACUUGUCUGUCUGUCUGAAGAUGAGUUGUGAGGCUUUUAGCACCAAGUGAUGUGUGCAGGGUGAGUGAAUGAAGCUUUUGGGGAAAAGAGUUUUGCUCCUAUUAUUUCCAAGGUAGCAUUAAUACCUUAACUUGAGUACAUUAUUUUCCCAGAGGCAUCUGAUGAAAAAGGGAUUUUCUGUUUUUAUGCUAUGGUAUAUAUGAUACUUAGCAUUUGUUUUGCUUUCCCUUUGUGCUUCCAUAGCUAUGGGAGGAAAUUAGUUAGGCAGCAGCUUCUCUAGGAAAGCAGGGCUUCAGCCAGACUUGCAUGUUACCAUGCUUUCUAUUUAUGGUUUUGGUUUUUUUGUUUGUUUUUUUUUUUUUCCCCGGUUGCAAAUAAAACUGCACAUCUACGAAAUAAAAUACAGGAAAAAAUAAUUCAUGAUUUCCUUUGGAUACAGCACCAAGGGGAUUUUUUUUUAUGAAAGCAUUAGGAGAACUUCAUGGGCAUGAGGCAACCAUAUAGCUGAUGAUGAAAAGUGUUUGUUUUCCUGUUUGUUCUCUCUGGGUUCAUUCAGGGGGUACCUUGAUAACAGGCAUUGGAGAGCUUACAAACCAAAAAGGUGCUUUUUUUUAGUGGAUCCUAAUUUGAUCUCCAUGGUUACCAUUCCCAGGUGAGACGGGAGAACGGGUGGAAACUGAGCUGCUCAGUGAGACAGUAAGUGAAGGGCCUGAAACAAAAGAAGAAGAAACAGGAGAAGCUGUGGAUAGUGCAGCAGCGACAGAGAUAGGUAUGUUGACAGAGGAGGGAAGGACCACAUGGGUUAUUGUUUAAGAGACAGCAAAGACUGUCCUGUCCUUAUUGAGCAUAUCUUGUUAUUCCCCUGUAGGCAUACAGCUGCUUUCUGCAUUUUUACACAAGAGGGUCAAAGAUACUUUACAGUAAAAGACAUUUUUGGAAGCAAUCAAUUGGAAGUCAUGCUUUUUACAUGGGUCAUCUUUAUAGAAUACGCAAGCCUUAUGAGUGAUAACUUUUCCCUCUUUGGGAAAAAUGAUAGACUGUAACAUGCAGUCUUGGAAAAUAAAAAAA
This is a long non-coding RNA of Taeniopygia guttata (zebra finch), 3029 nucleotides long. The record is from Ensembl. NCBI's taxonomy places the organism in Eukaryota, Metazoa, Chordata, Aves, Passeriformes, Estrildidae.